Podarcis lilfordi (Lilford's wall lizard) is the source of this 72-nucleotide non-coding RNA. NCBI's taxonomy places the organism in Eukaryota, Metazoa, Chordata, Lepidosauria, Squamata, Lacertidae. The record is from the annotation of a GenBank genome assembly.
GGGGUGGUAGCUCAGUGGAACGGCAUCUGCUUUGCAUGCAGAAAGUCCUUGGUUCGAUCCCCAGCAUCUCCA